Molecule: long non-coding RNA, 798 nt
Organism: Labeo rohita (rohu)
Lineage: Eukaryota; Metazoa; Chordata; Actinopteri; Cypriniformes; Cyprinidae
Exons: 4
Source: RefSeq, a predicted model, not a curated record
UUCAUGUGAUAGAUCCCGCCUCUUGUGUUCGUGUCCGUUCCACGUUCACGAAUCAGUCGGAAUUAACAAUAUAAUGGCAUUAAUGGAAAGUCUCAUUUAAAAAAUGUAGUACACUGCCUUCCGACAGGCUUCCAGAGGGAAACCCAUCUCUGCCAGCUGCAUCACGGAUGAUUCAUCUAUUUCUGGAGCUGGGGAACAGGAAUGACAAUGGGAGGUGUAAGGUCUGGCAGUUCCUCUUCUCCAGCCUGUAGCCCUGUGGCCCGAAGGCGAUUCAAGUCCAGGAAAUCAGUCACGGAAAAGUGUCAGGGAAGGCAACGGCUUUCGUUCUGGACACGGACCAAGUGGGGAGGGUAACAGGAAGCAUUAUCAGCCCUGUGUAACCGAUAGGGGUAUCUAAUUUUAACUUAGUUGAGAAAGUCACUUGAAGUGUGUGUCUGCCAACAGAGGGGUAGAGAGUGCAGUUGAAUGUGUCUCCUGAAACUAGAGCCUGCUGACAAGACUCAAAGUCUACAAACACGUCUGGGGAAAUUCCAGGAAAUUCCAAUUUCAAACCCUAGAAACACUUGAUUCUCUGAAAUCAUUUUUUUUAAAUAAAACAAGACUGCAAAUGGGAUAGUUCACCUAAAUGAAAACUCUGUCAGACCUGACUCAACCUGUAUCGGUCCAAAAACCGAAUUUACAAACUGAGCUCUCUAGAAAAAUGUCUAAUGCCAAACUGCUCUUUUUCUAAGAAAUGAAAGUCAUUUAUAACAUCAAAAAUAUUGUGUUUUCCAAAAAGAAGCACAUGAGAGAAAAGCA